Molecule: unclassified non-coding RNA, 587 nt
Filed under: Leishmania donovani
Lineage: Eukaryota; Euglenozoa; Kinetoplastea; Trypanosomatida; Trypanosomatidae
Description: gene:unknown
Source: RNAcentral
GGACCCACGCCUCCGUGCGCCAUGCCGCAGGGCUCUGUGCACCCACUCCCUCUCCCCACUCGGUGCGUGGCGAAGCCGGGCAGCCCCUCCCCUCCCCUAUUCCGGCCAAUGCACAGCCCCUUCUCGUGGUGAGAGGGCCAAGCGCCUGCGACGUUGGGGAGUCGGAGAGACUCAGCGCCACUCACGUCGGCGGUCCGACGGUGGACGGCGUUGCACCGGAGCGACCUGCAGCACUGCACACGCGUGCGCCAUCCAUAUGAUGGGCAGAGUGUGCCGACGUGGCUGGGACGUAUCCCACCCGGCCCUCGCUGCUUAGUGGUGCGGGGCGGCUCAGGCGCCCCGCGAGGGAUAUGCACCACGUGGCAACCAGCAUGGCUGGGGCGGCUGCGAGGCGACCUGGGAUGCGGGCGGGUGCGUUGCCUUUGAGGCGGGGGCCGUGCUGAGAUGACCGGGCCGGCGCGUUGCUGUGGCGCGCGUGUCUACGGCUGCUCCGCACCGCGCGAUGCGAGGGGGAGGGGCCCUGUGGCAGACCCGGGGGGUGCAGCGUUGACCUCGCGUUGCACAGCAGCGAAACGGACACGUUGGCG